AUUGAACGCUGGCGGCAGGCCUAACACAUGCAAGUCGAGCGGAUGAAGGGAGCUUGCUCCUGGAUUCAGCGGCGGACGGGUGAGUAAUGCCUAGGAAUCUGCCUGGUAGUGGGGGAUAACGCCCGGAAACGGGCGCUAAUACCGCAUACGUCCUGAGGGAGAAAGUGGGGGAUCUUCGAACCUCACGCUAUCAGAUGAGCCUAGGUCGGAUUAGCUAGUUGGUGGGGUAAAGGCCUACCAAGGCGACGAUCCGUAACUGGUCUGAGAGGAUGAUCAGUCACACUGGAACUGAGACACGGUCCAGGCUCCUACGGGAGGCAGCAGUGGGGAAUAUUGGACAAUGGGCGAAAGCCUGAUCCAGCCAUGCCGCGUGUGUGAAGAAGGUCUUCGGAUUGUAAAGCACUUUAAGUUGGGAGGAAGGGCAGUAAGUUAAUACCUUGCUGUUUUGACGUUACCAACAGAAUAAGCACCGGCUAACUUCGUG
RNAcentral lists this ribosomal RNA (484 nucleotides) under uncultured bacterium. RNAcentral describes it as "partial 16S ribosomal RNA". It matches the Rfam family "Bacterial small subunit ribosomal RNA", at positions 30 to 507 of the family's 1533-position model. The record is from RNAcentral.